This 705-nucleotide ribosomal RNA is filed under the name Salmonella enterica subsp. enterica serovar Livingstone. Its description in RNAcentral is "partial 23S ribosomal RNA". It matches the Rfam family "Bacterial large subunit ribosomal RNA", at positions 2164 to 2863 of the family's 2925-position model. Lineage: Bacteria; Pseudomonadati; Pseudomonadota; Gammaproteobacteria; Enterobacterales; Enterobacteriaceae. The record is from RNAcentral.
GUGGACGCCAGUCUGCAUGGAGCCGACCUUGAAAUACCACCCUUUAAUGUUUGAUGUUCUAACGUGGACCCGUGAUCCGGGUUGCGGACAGUGUCUGGUGGGUAGUUUGACUGGGGCGGUCUCCUCCUAAAGAGUAACGGAGGAGCACGAAGGUUGGCUAAUCCUGGUCGGACAUCAGGAGGUUAGUGCAAUGGCAUAAGCCAGCUUGACUGCGAGCGUGACGGCGCGAGCAGGUGCGAAAGCAGGUCAUAGUGAUCCGGUGGUUCUGAAUGGAAGGGCCAUCGCUCAACGGAUAAAAGGUACUCCGGGGAUAACAGGCUGAUACCGCCCAAGAGUUCAUAUCGACGGCGGUGUUUGGCACCUCGAUGUCGGCUCAUCACAUCCUGGGGCUGAAGUAGGUCCCAAGGGUAUGGCUGUUCGCCAUUUAAAGUGGUACGCGAGCUGGGUUUAGAACGUCGUGAGACAGUUCGGUCCCUAUCUGCCGUGGGCGCUGGAGAACUGAGGGGGGCUGCUCCUAGUACGAGAGGACCGGAGUGGACGCAUCACUGGUGUUCGGGUUGUCAUGCCAAUGGCACUGCCCGGUAGCUAAAUGCGGAAGAGAUAAGUGCUGAAAGCAUCUAAGCACGAAACUUGCCCCGAGAUGAGUUCUCCCUGAGACUUAGAGUCUCCUGAAGGAACGUUGAAGACGACGACGUUGAUAGGCCG